GGAUUCUCUGCUGUUCCUGAGGGAAUUCAAGGACCAACGGAAGCAACCGAAGCUAGCUGUUCCAGAGGCCAGGUCCGCUUCCGGAAUCGCGACUAUUACCGAAAUAAUACGUGAACAUAAUGAGAUUUACCGUCACACGGUGACAUCGCAUACGGACAUCAAUAAAAUUACAUGGGUUUUCAAUGUAAUAACGCAUGGUUCUCACAAUAUUUCGGAAGUAAGUCUAUCACUCUGCCUCUGUCCUUACUCGGACGCUGUCAAAAGUGGGGCUGGAAAAUGGCAAAGUGGGGAGGCUAAUAGGUACACCAAGAUGGUUGCAAAAUAUUUUACACGUGCAUUCAGAUUGUUUUUAAAUAACACGUUCUACUGGAGUGCAUCGAAAAGGUCUUGCAUAUUUGCUCUUAGGUGAAGAUUUGUACCAUAUGCUAUUGGGGUAUGUUAAUUACUGCUGUUGACCUAACUCUGGAAAGUGCACCUCUACUCUUCAUCCUCAUUCCAUCACUUCUCGUCUUUCCUCAUCUCCUACCUACCAAGUGAGUUAUUCCUCUACCAGUAUUGUUACUACACUUUUCAGUUACAAUUUCCAGGUUCCACUGAAUUGUGCACCUCAUUAAGCCGAACAUGUGUGUAUAGUGUGUUCCACUGGUCCUCUGAAUGAUCUGCUUCAUUCUGCUCCAUUCAUGUUCAGUCAUGUACAUUACCGAUUGUGGCCUCGGGAGAUGCUUCCCAGAAGAACACUGGCUUCUUUUCCUGGAUAGCCAGCAACCGCGAACUCGAUUCUGCAGAUAAACAGCAAACGAUGCGCUCAUAAAAUGCCAAAAGAAUGUUGAAGAUUAGGGUAAGCCAGCAUUCAUAUAUGCUUUUAAGUUAGUUAUAUACAGUAUUGAGACCAUUGGAAUGUUUUUAUUUGCACUGCAUUAAAGAGGGAGUGGAUGUCAUUAGGAAAGACAUUUAAGAUGAUGUUGCGGGGUGGGAUCACCUUCUUUCGUUCCGUUAUGUCAGUUCGUUCAGUCAAUUAGUUUGAUUUCUUCAUUUCUUAGCACCUGGUGCGGUUUUCUGUCUUUUUCUUUUUUCUUCUAUUUUAAAUUACUACAUGUCUAGCCGUUAGCCUUUUAAAAUUUGCCGAUGGUCGUCGCCAGAACACAUUGAACCUCCUGCCUUUCAUCUGUUUUGCUUUUACGUAGGAAUUAAAUCUUCCGCAUGAAGGGGUCAAUGGUCCUGUAUUGGAUUAAAGGAACCAGGGAUUAAAGCGUCUGCUUGAGUCUAGUUAACUGUUCCUGAACUGGUUUUUCCAGGAUGAGGCGUAGUAAUUCUAAAAUCGACACGAGUCUUAGUGAAUCUAGCCUCGAGUUUUUUUUUUUUUCCUUUUGUCUCACAACAAGGAAAUAAAUCGAAUUGAUUUCAUCUUGUAAAUCCUUUCCUAGUAUUUUCUUUUCUCUUGUGUAAAUAAUGGAAUACGUUAGCUUGUCCAUCGAGUCUCAUCUAAUUCCCAAAUUAAAUUUUUUUUUCUUCAAAUCCUUCCUCAUGCGAAACAUUUGUUUAAUUAAAAAUUUUUUU
Molecule: long non-coding RNA, 1557 nt
Organism: Daphnia pulicaria
Lineage: Eukaryota; Metazoa; Arthropoda; Branchiopoda; Diplostraca; Daphniidae
Exons: 5
Source: RefSeq, a predicted model, not a curated record